CCUACGGGAGGCAGCAGUGAGGAAUAUUGGUCAAUGGCCGUAGGGCUGAACCAGCCAAGUCGCGUGAAGGAAGACGGAUCUAUGGGUUGUAAACUUCUUUUAUAGGGGAAGAAAGGUGACUACGUGUAGACAGUUGCAUGUACCCUAUGAAUAAGCAUCGGCUAACUCCGUGCCAGCAGCCGCGGUAAUACGGAGGAUGCGAGCGUUAUCCGGAUUUAUUGGGUUUAAAGGGUGCGUAGGGUGUUAUUUAAGUUAUCGGUGAAAGCUUGUGGCUUAAACCUUAAAUGGCCGUUGAAACUGGAGGACUAGAGUGCGUACGAGGUAGGCGGAAUGCGUGAAGUAGCGGUGAAAUGCAUAGAUAUAACGUAGAACCCCGAUAGCGAAGGCAGCUUACUAGACCAUAACUGACGCUGAAGCACGAGAGCGUGGGGAGCGAACAGGAUUAGAUACCCUAGUAGUC
RNAcentral lists this ribosomal RNA (460 nucleotides) under uncultured bacterium. Its description in RNAcentral is "partial 16S ribosomal RNA". It matches the Rfam family "Bacterial small subunit ribosomal RNA", at positions 338 to 795 of the family's 1533-position model. The record is from RNAcentral.